This 121-nucleotide small RNA is filed under the name Mytilus galloprovincialis (Mediterranean mussel). The record is from RNAcentral. Lineage: Eukaryota; Metazoa; Mollusca; Bivalvia; Mytilida; Mytilidae.
GAGACAAAAUUGACUUUUGUGAGACAAAAUUGUUUUUUGUGAGACAAAACUCAAUUUUGUCAAUUUUGUCUCACAAAUGUCAAUUUUUUCUCACAAAAGUCAAUUAUGUCUCACAAAAGUC